UGGCGGACGGGUGAGUAAUGUCUGGGAAACUGCCUGAUGGAGGGGGAUAACUACUGGAAACGGUAGCUAAUACCGCAUAACGUCGCAGGACCAAAGAGGGGGACCUUCGGGCCUCUUGCCAUCGGAUGUGCCCAGAUGGGAUUAGCUAGUAGGUGGGGUAACGGCUCACCUAGGCGACAAUCCCUAGCUGGUCUGAGAGGAUGACCAGCCACACUGGAACUGAGACACGGUCCAGACUCCUACGGGAGGCAGCAUG
This 256-nucleotide ribosomal RNA is filed under the name uncultured bacterium. RNAcentral's name for it is "partial 16S ribosomal RNA". It matches the Rfam family "Bacterial small subunit ribosomal RNA", at positions 96 to 353 of the family's 1533-position model. The record is from RNAcentral.